RNAcentral lists this ribosomal RNA (497 nucleotides) under uncultured bacterium. RNAcentral's name for it is "partial 16S ribosomal RNA". It matches the Rfam family "Bacterial small subunit ribosomal RNA", at positions 28 to 507 of the family's 1533-position model. The record is from RNAcentral.
GAUGAACGCUGGCGGCGUGCCUAAUACAUGCAAGUCGAGCGAACAGACGAGGAGCUUGCUUCUCUGACGUUAGCGGCGGACGGGUGAGUAACACGUGGAUAACCUACCUAUAAGACUGGGAUAACUUCGGGAAACCGGAGCUAAUACCGGAUAAUAUUUUGAACCGCAUGGUUCAAUAGUGAAAGACGGUUUUGCUGUCACUUAUAGAUGGAUCCGCGCCGCAUUAGCUAGUUGGUAAGGUAACGGCUUACCAAGGCAACGAUGCGUAGCCGACCUGAGAGGGUGAUCGGCCACACUGGAACUGAGACACGGUCCAGACUCCUACGGGAGGCAGCAGUAGGGAAUCUUCCGCAAUGGGCGAAAGCCUGACGGAGCAACGCCGCGUGAGUGAUGAAGGUCUUCGGAUCGUAAAACUCUGUUAUUAGGGAAGAACAGAUGUGUAAGUAACUAUGCACGUCUUGACGGUACCUAAUCAGAAAGCCACGGCUAACUACGUG